CUACGGGCGGCACCAGUGGGGAAUAUUGCACAAUGGGGGAAACCCUGAUGCAGCAACGCCGCGUGAAGGAAGAAGGUUUUCGGAUCGUAAACUUCUAUCAGCAAGGAAGAUAAUGACGGUACUUGACUAAGAAGCCCCGGCUAACUACGUGCCAGCAGCCGCGGUAAUACGUAGGGGGCAAGCGUUAUCCGGAAUUACUGGGUGUAAAGGGUGCGUAGACGGUUUUGACAGUCAGAUGUGAAAGCCCGAAGCUCAACUUCGGGACUGCAUUUGAAACUACAAGACUAGAGUACAGGAGAGGAAAGUGGAAUUCCUAGUGUAGCGGUGGAAUGCGUAGAUAUUAGGAGGAACACCAGUGGCGAAGGCGACUUUCUGGACUGUAACUGACGUUGAUGCACGAAAGCGUGGGGAGCAAACAGGAUUAGAUACCCCCGUAGUC
Molecule: ribosomal RNA, 439 nt
Filed under: uncultured bacterium
Lineage: Bacteria
Description: partial 16S ribosomal RNA
Rfam family: Bacterial small subunit ribosomal RNA
Source: RNAcentral